Oncorhynchus tshawytscha (Chinook salmon) is the source of this 1280-nucleotide long non-coding RNA. NCBI's taxonomy places the organism in Eukaryota, Metazoa, Chordata, Actinopteri, Salmoniformes, Salmonidae. The record is from Ensembl.
GUGCGGACCGCAAAACCGCAAAACCUGACUCUGUAGGGGAGGGUCCGGGUGGGCCUUCUUUACAGCGGCGACUCUGGUGCGGGACGUGGACCCCGCUCCACCUCCGGCUUGGCCCACUUAGGUGGCGCCUCUGGAGCGGGGACCCUCACCGCCAACCCCGGACCGGGGACCCUCGCAACGGGCCCCGGGCUGGAGGGAGACUCUGGCAGCUCCGGGCUGGAGGGAGACUCUGGCAGCUCCGGGCUCACCAGGCUGGGGAGACCUACUGGAGGCCUGGUCCGUGGAGGAGGCACAGGAUAGACAGGGCUGUGGGGGAGCACUGGACAUCUGGUGCGUAGCCUUGACACCACUCCUCCAGGCUGAAUGCCCACUCUAGCCCGGCACGUGCAAGAAGCUGGAACAGGCCGCACUGGGAUCUCCUGGCGAACUGGGGAAACCGUGCCUAGAGCCGGCGCGGGAUAUCCUGGCCCGAGGAGACGCAGUGGAGGUCUGGAGAGCAGGGCUGGCACCAUCCGUCCUGGCUGGAUCCUCACCCUAGCCCGGUAGAUGCGGGUAGCUGGAAUGUAGCGCACCGGGCUAAGAACACGUACUGGAGAUCUGUAGCGCCAAGCUGGCAGCAGACGUGCAGGGCUGGGGAGGCGCACAGGAGGCCUGGUGCGUGGGGCUAGCACGCACCUCAGGACGAGUAUGGAGAGCUGACUCAGGUGACAUCAAAUCGAGAACAUGCUCCGUCGGGCGGAUGUCGUGCCUCAUGCACCAACACAGCAACACUCUCAUUGCUCUCUCCUCCAAUCUCCCCAUCAACUCGUUCACUGUCUCUGCUUCGCUUCCUUCGCUCACCUCCAAUUUCACCCCAUAGCACGGGGCCUGAUCAGUCCCAUGCUCGCCACGGUAAGCACGGGGAGUUGGCUCAGGUCUCCAACCUGACUCUGCCACACUCCCAGUGUGUCCCCCCCCCAAAACAUUUUUUGGGGGCUGCCUCUCGGGUUUCCGUGCCAGCCGUGUUCCCUCGCAGUGUUGCCGCUCAGCCUUAGCUGCCUCCAGUUCCUCCUGUGGAUGGCGAUACUCCCCAGCCUGCCUCCAGGGUCCCUUCCCUUCCAGGAUCUCCUCCCAUGUCCAGGAGUCCAUUACACCACGCUGCUUGGUCCUUUGGUGGUGGGUAGUUCUGUAACAGCUGUUGGUGGAAGAAGGUGAGGACCAAAGCGUGUUCUGACAGCUUUGAUGCACCUGUACUGACCUCGCCUUCUGGAUGGUAGCGGUGUGAACAGGCAGUGGCUCAG